GGAAUGUUUAGGAAAUCAAAGCAUAUAGUUCGAAGAAAGAAGAUGCAAGACAUCAAGUGGCCAGAAAAAGUAUAAAGGGAAAAAGCAAGAAAUCAGAUUUUCCAUACAAUUAGUUCUUAGUUAUGGUAUUUGACUUUUUAAUUGGCAUCUUUUAAAAUAAUCCUGUGCCAUAUACAUGAACUUGCAACUUACCAAGUUUGUUCUAGGGAGAAGAAAAGGAGACAUCAAAUUUUAACUCAUCCUAAAUAAUAUGAAAUAUCAUAUGGAUGAAUCAUGUUAGAUUAGUUGGCCUAAACUGUAACAAGGAUUGUGCAAAUCUUGAGUUUUAGAACCAAAUUCAAAUCACAAAACAAAGAAACACCAACUCUUAAGUGAUGGUCCAAGAAAAGUUACCACCUCAGCUAUGGUAAUUAUCAGCAGGAGUGGCAAAGCAGAGUCUCCCCUCGCAUCUCUCUUUGUAGUUAAUGACAAAGCUAAACCCAAUGCCAUUGAUUAAGAUUAGUUUAAAGCUUUCACUCGUGUUGAGCACACCUCUUUGUGCAGUUAACACAAAACAAAAGGGGCAACAGCAAGUCAACUAUCAGUCAUUACCUUUCAUGA
RNAcentral lists this unclassified non-coding RNA (600 nucleotides) under Hevea brasiliensis (rubber tree). Lineage: Eukaryota; Viridiplantae; Streptophyta; Magnoliopsida; Malpighiales; Euphorbiaceae. The record is from RNAcentral.